RNAcentral lists this ribosomal RNA (495 nucleotides) under uncultured bacterium. RNAcentral describes it as "partial 16S ribosomal RNA". It matches the Rfam family "Bacterial small subunit ribosomal RNA", at positions 28 to 507 of the family's 1533-position model. The record is from RNAcentral.
GAUGAACGCUGGCGGCGUGCCUAACACAUGCAAGUCGAACGAAGCACCGCUGACGUUGAUUGUCACAGGUUGCUGGAGAUUGAGUGAUUUAAGCGGGCAUAGCGUCGGUCGGGUAAGUGACGCACGUGUAACCUGCCUCACUGAUGGGGACAAAAGUAUGAAACGACUGCUUUUACUGGAUAAUAAGAGGAUUUCGCAUGUUUUUUGCUUGAAAGAUUUAUCGUUAUGAGAUGGGUCCGCGUCCGAUUAGCCAGUUGGUAAGGUAACGGCAUACCAAGGGGACGACCAGUAGCCGGGUUGAGAGACUGGACGGCCACACUGGGACUGGGACACGGCCCAAACUCCUCCGGGAGGGAGCAGUGGGGAAUAUUGCACCAUGGGGGAAACCCUGAUGCAGCGACGCCGCGUGAGUGAAGAAGUAUUUCGGUAUGAAAAGCUCUAUCAGCAGGGAAGAUAAUGACGGUACCUGACUAAGAAGCCCCGGCUAACUACGUG